Long non-coding RNA from Tupaia belangeri chinensis (Chinese tree shrew), 243 nucleotides. RefSeq lists it as uncharacterized. The record is from RefSeq and is a predicted model, not a curated record. NCBI's taxonomy places the organism in Eukaryota, Metazoa, Chordata, Mammalia, Scandentia, Tupaiidae. The transcript has 3 exons.
UUGUCGUUGAUACGAACAAAGGCAAAGUUGCUCCAUGGCCCUGGAAAAGGGCUCCCCAAGCCUAGGCGUCCCACUUGGACUCACUGGUCCAGUAUCAAGUCACGUCCCUGAGACCUGAAAUCCCUGACCUAGAAUGCAAUGUGCUGGAAUGUACGAGAAGCAGGGAUUCAGCUCCUCUGAAGGUCACGAACGCCUCCUACGUGACCUACUUCAGCACCAAGAAACUGCAAACAGGAGCACGAG